Numida meleagris (helmeted guineafowl) is the source of this 3735-nucleotide long non-coding RNA. RefSeq lists it as uncharacterized. NCBI's taxonomy places the organism in Eukaryota, Metazoa, Chordata, Aves, Galliformes, Numididae. The transcript has 3 exons. The record is from RefSeq and is a predicted model, not a curated record.
GUCCUUGCCUAUGUGGGGCCUUCUGAGGUCCACGUGGCAACAAUAGCAGAUAUAGAGGUGUGCAGCCGUGCUUUGUGCUGGCAGAGACAGCCUGCACUGAUGCUGCAGCUGCACCCUGGUCUGCCAUUUCCUCAGAGCAGAGCGAGGGUGGGAUGGUAGUUGCUAUGGCAACCUGCUCUACUUGAGAGCAGCCAAAGGCCUCUCAGCACACUUUGGAAUUGCUUCCUUCUCAUUAUACUUCAGCAGUGGAAAAAGGUUUGUGUUUUUACAGGAAGAGCAGAUGUCUGUCAGCACAUGUUUCACACAAUGUAAUGUUAUAAACAUUCCACAACACAUUGUGUGUGAGUGUGGAACUUGAAGGGAAGGGCAGCUCACAAUACAAGAGCAGUUUCAUAUGGGAAAUCUUUAUUCAAGCAAUGCCAGGGAGUGAGCAAGGUGAAGGAAGCCUGUGGAAAAUUAAGUGAUGACACUAAACUGAUUAGCUGCUUAACAAUUAUCUAGUGAUAUUACUGUUUCUAGACUAUAUGUGCUUUCAGUAUAUGUCCUAGAGUGUGCAGUUCUUCUCUCCCCUGUAAAUAUUCUAUGCUGUGCUAUACAAAAUGGCUGGUGAAUGUGCCUUACACAUCAGAGAGUGAAGCAUGAAAGUACAAUGGGCAUUUGUAUCUAAAGGAUAUAAAGGACUGUACAGGGAAUCUGCUGCUGGUUUAGUGAUGUCCAGUGGAUCCGCUGGAAAUAUAUUCUAUUCUGAAAUGUAAUCCUAUUCACAAACUAGACUGGUAUGUAAUUGGUAGUGAUCAGCUGUUUCAUGCCACCAUGUAAUUACAUGGUUAUUCUAUUCUUUGUAUUCUUGCUUAUGAAUAUCUAAUUAGCAUAAAAAUUUUACAGUGACUUCUUAAUAACAUGUAGUAUGCUAAAUGUUACUAUUGGAUUAUGGGGUAAUCUGAUUUAUUGAAAUCCCUGAACAACCAUUCUUAACUUCAAUAUGAACAUACAGGAUCUGCUGACAUGGCUACCUUCUGGUCUGAGAGCACUCAAGAGAACUGCCUAUGACAAAUAUACCUUGCUUGGCUUUCUUGCUCCCUUCCAUUGAAACAUGCUUUGACUAGAAUAUAUGUGAGUGAAGAAGAAAACUUAAAAUUUCACACUGCCUAUUCCUUGUUACCUCUCUAUCCUGGUAUUAACAAUUGAGUGUAAUUGAUACAGUAAGCACAAAAUCUAAACACAAAAUUGAUGUUUGGAGCAAAUUAUGCACUCAGCUCAUGUAAAACUAUGAAACUAUUUUUGCUUAAAUUGUUUUUGGGAAUAUCCCACUGAAACUGAUGGUUGAAUCUCUAUAUGGAACCAGUGCAUAUGCGCUCUUCAACAAUGAUCAAGGUCUGAGAUGGUAAAUCUCAAUGUCAGUCCAAGCAUCUAGAAUUGUGAAUUGACCAUGUAAUUACUUAUUUGAGAAGAGGUGCAUUAGUAAUUUGCUUAUGCUGAAUUUAAGUCCUGUUUAUAUCCAUUUGUUCCAAGAUUCCAGUUUGUUAAUAUCUCUGGAACUGUGUAUGUGUUUUUGGAUUACACCUAACUGUAGGAGCCCCUAUUUACUCAGAGUGUAGCUGAAGCCUGAUAAACAUCGAAUAAUAUGGUAAAGGUACAUAUUUAACAGCUAGUGGCUUUCUCAUGUAAACACCAAAUAAAAUUCUGUUGCAAAAGUUUUGUUUGUAAAAUGGCAAUUGAUAAAAAUAAGACAGACUCUGGUGUAACAUCCAAGUCUUUGUUGGUAGCGAACAGAUGCUACACCAGCAGUCGUGGGACUUUCAGAGAACUACUAUGAAUAUGUUCACAGCAUGAGAAGAUGGGCAACAUGCUGCUAAAAUGCUGCUUUCCAAAUCCCAGUCCUGCUACAGUUCUGUUACAGUGCCUGCCUUGAUUCGAAGGCAUGCUUAAAAAAGACCCAUUUAUGAUCUAACAUCCUGAAAUUGUGUCAGUGAUUUUAUAGUUUAAUCUGUUUAGGGCUGAAGGGCUGGGAAGGAAAAGAUCGAUCUUACUAUAUCCUGAUGUUGAACAAUCUGUAUUUGGCUUUGAGAUUCUUGGUUCAAUUGCUAAUCAAAAGUUUUCACAGAUCGUAAAAUGACUUAAAGAAAGGAUUUAAUUAGCCAGAUUCAUUUUUUUUUACAACAUACAUAAAAAGCCACUGUACAAUGUCACAAGGAAUUUUUAUUUUUGAUUAUUAGCCAUUAUUUAGAAGAGAUGGAUGCUGUUGGGCAAAGUUUCUUUCAUCUUUAUCAGGGUACUGCAGGGGCUGGGCAUGAGGAAUGUUGGGUGUCUCCAGUUUGGCCAGGCAGGGCCCUUCCCAGCAGGAGCAGGACCCUGAGGGCAGCUCCAGGGAGCGGGCACUCCCUAAGGCAGGGCUGAGCCAAGGCUGGACCAGGCCAUGCCAUGGGCCUGUGGGUGUGUCUGGCUGGGCAGGGGCCAUGGCCCAGGCAGGGAGGGUCUGUGGAGAGCUGGAGCCUGGACUUGCUGCUGUCUUGCUGAUUGGCCCUAGUGCAUGGUUUUGUCACAUUUUGCUGUGAGAAAAGCCUUUAAUUCUUUAAUUGCUUCAUAAAGCAAGUACGACUGAUGAGAGUGUGAGGACAGGAAUGGAGCAGAAAUCAUCCUAUUCUAAUGUUGUUAUUGUGAUGAUAAAUAUUCAGAGGAUUAAGGGAAACUUCUACAAAAUGUUAUGCUCUUUGGAUAAAGCAGUAUCUCACUGAGGAGUUAAACCCUACAUCCUGGAAAGUGAAUCCAAGCUUCUAGACAAUGUACUGGUAGCUUUUAAAAUAAAUUUGUACUGCUUUGGAGGUGGUAUACUUACAGCUUACAUCUUAUGUAAUUGAUUUGAAAAUUCCAUCCUGCAGUGAUCAGAUUCAUAGUGUCAUUACAGCUAGCCACACAACUAUUUAGGUAAUGUAGCCCAGUGUCAUUAGUAUCAUAUAUGAGUACCUCAUUAUAAAACAUUUCUUUUCCCGUGUUUACAGACUUUUAAAAUUAUAUUAUGAAGCUAAUUAUUAAUCCUGUAACAGAAUUGGUAGAUAGCUAUUAUGUACUUUGUUCAUGCUUAUACUUAAUGCUCACAUGUUUUGUGGUAGAGAACUGAAGAAAACUUAUCUUGGCCUCUCAAAUAAAAUCACUUUGUAUCUUUUUUGUAUGUACUUCUAUUCUGCUGAGAAGAAUGGAAAUAUUACUACUAGAGGCAAGAUUUCUAUCUUAGUGCUGGAUCUUUCGUUCUUACGCUCCUCUCUCUUUUUUUUUUUUGUUUCCCAAAGGCUAGCUAGUGUUCUCUUAUUUAGCAAAGCUGUAUUUCAGUUCUAGUUUAUGUAUACAUGUAUGUGACUUUGCUACUGGAAAAUGGUUGUGGGUUAUUCCAUGCAGCAUCUGAGAGGAAGGAUGGAAAAUGAAAUUGGACUGCAACAGCAGUUUUGAAGGGAAGUGGUUCCCACUGCCCAAGGCCAACUUUGAGGAAAUGAAGCUCUGUUUUGCAAAGCAAGAUGCAGUCUAUCAGAAGCUUAUUGUAUGUUUCACAGGACUGUGAAUUCCCAUAACCUUAACUGAACUUUUUGAGACUUUCUUGGUGUUGGUUUUCUAAAGCUUUGACUCUUAGGAUCAUGUAUUAGGUCUGCAUGGUUUUGCUUGAGAGUAACUUUUAUACUCCUCAUGGUUAUACAACAAAAGCUUUACAAGUGAUUUGAAUAAAAUCUAUUUGUCAAAAGCAAA